RNAcentral lists this ribosomal RNA (459 nucleotides) under uncultured bacterium. RNAcentral describes it as "partial 16S ribosomal RNA". It matches the Rfam family "Bacterial small subunit ribosomal RNA", at positions 338 to 795 of the family's 1533-position model. The record is from RNAcentral.
CCUACGGGUGGCAGCAGUGAGGAAUAUUGGUCAAUGGCCGAGAGGCUGAACCAGCCAAGUCGCGUGAGGGAAGACGGCCCUACGGGUUGUAAACCUCUUUUGUCGGGGAGCAAAGCGAGUCACGUGUGACUCAUUGAGAGUACCCGAAGAAAAAGCAUCGGCUAACUCCGUGCCAGCGGCCGCGUUACUACGGGGGAUGCGAGCGUUAUCCGGAUUUAUUGGGUUUAAAGGGUGCGCAGGCGGUGGGGCAAGUAAGCGGUAAAAUUGCGGGGCUCAACCCCGUACUGCCGUUGAAACUGCAUCCCUUGAGUGCGCGAGAAGUAUGCGGAAUGCGUGGUGUAGCGGUGAAAUGCAUAGAUAUCACGCAGAACUCCGAUUGCGAAGGCAGCAUACCGGCGCGCAACUGACGCUCAUGCACGAAAGCGUGGGUAUCGAACAGGAUUAGAUACCCCAGUAGUC